CCUACGGGAGGCAGCAGUCGAGAAUCAUUCACAAUGGGGGAAACCCUGAUGGUGCGACGCCGCGUGGGGGAAUGAAGGUCUUCGGAUUGUAAACCCCUGUCAUGUGGGAGCAAAUUAAAAAGAUAGUACCACAAGAGGAAGAGACGGCUAACUCUGUGCCAGCAGCCGCGGUAAUACAGAGGUCUCAAGCGUUGUUCGGAAUCACUGGGCGUAAAGCGUGCGUAGGCUGUUUCGUAAGUCGUGUGUGAAAGGCCCGGGCUCAACCCGAGGACGGCACAUGAUACUGGGAGACUAGAGUAAUGGAGGGGGAACCGGAAUUCUCGGUGUAGCAGUGAAAUGCGUAGAUAUCGAGAGGAACACUCGUGGCGAAGGCGGGUUCCUGGACAUUAACUGACGCUGAGGCACGAAGGCCAGGGGAGCGAAAGGGAUUAGAUACCCCAGUAGUC
This 446-nucleotide ribosomal RNA is filed under the name uncultured bacterium. RNAcentral describes it as "partial 16S ribosomal RNA". It matches the Rfam family "Bacterial small subunit ribosomal RNA", at positions 338 to 795 of the family's 1533-position model. The record is from RNAcentral.